This 427-nucleotide ribosomal RNA is filed under the name uncultured Acidobacterium sp. RNAcentral's name for it is "bacterial SSU rRNA". It matches the Rfam family "Bacterial small subunit ribosomal RNA", at positions 958 to 1385 of the family's 1533-position model. Lineage: Bacteria; Pseudomonadati; Acidobacteriota; Terriglobia; Terriglobales; Acidobacteriaceae. The record is from RNAcentral.
AACGCGAAGAACCUUACCUGGGCUCGAAAUGGAGUGGACCGGAGUAGAAAUAUUCCUUCCCCGCAAGGGGCUGCUCUAUAGGUGCUGCAUGGCUGUCGUCAGCUCGUGUCGUGAGAUGUUGGGUUAAGUCCCGCAACGAGCGCAACCCUUAUUACCAGUUGCCAUCAUUCAGUUGGGCACUCAGGUGAGACCGCCUCGGAUAACGGGGAGGAAGGCGGGGAUGACGUCAAGUCCUCAUGGCCUUUAUGUCCAGGGCUACACACGUGCUACAAUGGCCGGUACAAACCGUCGCAAACCCGUGAGGGGGAGCUAAUCGGAAAAAGCCGGCCUCAGUUCGGAUUGUAGUCUGCAACUCGACUACAUGAAGCUGGAAUCGCUAGUAAUCGCGGAUCAGAACGCCGCGGUGAAUACGUUCCCGGGCCUUGUA